RNAcentral lists this ribosomal RNA (253 nucleotides) under uncultured bacterium. Its description in RNAcentral is "partial 16S ribosomal RNA". It matches the Rfam family "Bacterial small subunit ribosomal RNA", at positions 524 to 776 of the family's 1533-position model. The record is from RNAcentral.
UACGGAGGGAGCUAGCGUUGUUCGGAUUUACUGGGCGUAAAGAGCGCGCAGGCGGUCAGAUAAGUCGAAUGUGAAAGCCCCCGGCUCAACUGGGGAGGGUCAUUCGAUACUGUUCGACUCGAAGGCAGGAGAGGGAAGCGGAAUUCCCGGUGUAGUGGUGAAAUGCGUAGAUAUCGGGAGGAACACCAGUGGCGAAGGCGGCUUCCUGGCCUGUUCUUGACGCUGAGGCGCGAAAGCUAGGGGAGCAAACGGG